GACGAGCGCUGGCGGCGUGCUUAACACAUGCAAGUCGAACGGUAAGGCCCUUCGGGGUCCACGAGUGGCGAACGGGUGAGUAACGCGUGAGUAACCUGCCCUUCACUCUGGGAUAACAGUUGGAAACGGCUGCUAAUACCGGAUAUUCAGCUCCUGUCGCAUGGUGGGGGUUGGAAAGUUUUGGUGGUGGAGGAUGGGCUCGCGUCCUAUCAGCUUGUUGGUGGGGUGAUGGCCUACCAAGGCGUCGACGGGUAGCCGGCCUGAGAGGGCGACCGGCCACAUUGGGACUGAGAUACGGCCCAAACUCCUACGGGAGGCAGCAGUGGGGAAUAUUGCACAAUGGGCGGAAGCCUGAUGCAGCAACGCCGCGUGCGGGAUGACGGCCUUCGGGUUGUAAACCGCUUUCAGCAGGGACGAAGCGCAAGUGACGGUACCUGCAGAAGAAGCACCGGCUAACUACGUG
Molecule: ribosomal RNA, 463 nt
Filed under: uncultured bacterium
Lineage: Bacteria
Description: partial 16S ribosomal RNA
Rfam family: Bacterial small subunit ribosomal RNA
Source: RNAcentral